This 21-nucleotide ribosomal RNA is filed under the name Carya glabra (pignut hickory). RNAcentral describes it as "partial 18S ribosomal RNA". Lineage: Eukaryota; Viridiplantae; Streptophyta; Magnoliopsida; Fagales; Juglandaceae. The record is from RNAcentral.
AGUGACUGCGGAGGAUCAUUG